AAAAUAGGCCGCGGGCACAGCCGCGGUCAAAAAUAACCGCCCGAAGGCAGGGGCGCCAAGUUCGUCCAGCGGAAAAAGGUCCCAAAAACGGGUGGGCUAUAGCCUUGGGGGGUGGGGCUGGCCAACUUCAUCUGCUGGGCUCGGAAUGGCGCGAAACAUUGCGAGGUGCCUCCGUGCGCCAAAAAUAGGCCGCAGGCACAGCCGUGCCCAAAAAUAACCCCCCGAAGGCCGGGGCGCCACGUUCGUCCAGCGGAAAAAGCCCACAAAAACGGGUGGGCGAUAGCCUUGGGGGGUGGGACUGCCCAACUUCGUCCGCCGGACUCGGAUUGGCGCGAUACUUUGCGAGGCGACUCCGUGUGCCAAAAAUAAGCCGCGGGCACAGCCGCGCCUAAAAAUAACCGCCCGAAGGCCGGGGCGCCAAGUUCGUCCAGCGGAAAAAGGCCACAAAAACGGGUGCGCUAUAGCCUUGGGGGGUGGGGCUGGCCAACUUCGUCCGCCGGACUCAGAUUGGCGCGGUACUUUGCGAGGUGACUCUGUGUGCCAAAAUAGGCCGCGGGCACUGCCGCACCCAAAA
This 574-nucleotide long non-coding RNA is filed under the name Citrus x clementina. RNAcentral describes it as "Citrus clementina (C. clementina) long non-coding RNA (CCLE_LNC005870)". Lineage: Eukaryota; Viridiplantae; Streptophyta; Magnoliopsida; Sapindales; Rutaceae. The record is from RNAcentral.